RNAcentral lists this ribosomal RNA (440 nucleotides) under uncultured bacterium. RNAcentral's name for it is "bacterial SSU rRNA". It matches the Rfam family "Bacterial small subunit ribosomal RNA", at positions 8 to 439 of the family's 1533-position model. The record is from RNAcentral.
AGAGUUUGAUCCUGGCUCAGGACGAACGCUGGCGGCGUGCUUAAUACAUGCAAGUCGAACGAGGUCCAGUUGGUGGUAACACCGACGAAGACCUAGUGGCGAACGGGUGCGUAACACGUGAGCAACCUGCCCCGAAAGACUGGGAUAACAGCGGGAAACUGCUGCUAAUACCAGAUGACCCCACGAAAUCGCAUGGUUUUGUGAGGAAAUGGAUUCCGCUUCGGGAGGGGCUCGCGACCUAUCAGCUUGUUGGUGAGGUAACGGCUCACCAAGGCGUCGGCGGGUAGCUGGUCUGAGAGGACGAUCAGCCACACUGGGACUGAGACACGGCCCAGACUCCUACGGGAGGCAGCAGUAGGGAAUCUUGCGCAAUGGGCGAAAGCCUGACGCAGCAACGCCGCGUGGGGGAUGAAUGCCUUCGGGUUGUAAACUCCUUUUAG